GAUGAACGCUGGCGGCGUGCCUAAUACAUGCAAGUCGAGCGAACGGACGAGAAGCUUGCUUCUCUGAUGUUAGCGGCGGACGGGUGAGUAACACGUGGAUAACCUACCUAUAAGACUGGGAUAACUUCGGGAAACCGGAGCUAAUACCGGAUGAUAUUUUGAACCGCAUGGUUCAAAAGUGAAAGACGGUCUUGCUGUCACUUAUAGAUGGAUCCGCGCUGCAUUAGCUAGUUGGUAAGGUAACGGCUUACCAAGGCAACGAUGCAUAGCCGACCUGAGAGGGUGAUCGGCCACACUGGAACUGAGACACGGUCCAGACUCCUACGGGAGGCAGCAGUAGGGAAUCUUCCGCAAUGGGCGAAAGCCUGACGGAGCAACGCCGCGUGAGUGAUGAAGGUCUUCGGAUCGUAAAACUCUUUUAUUAGGGAAGAACAUAUGUGUAAGUAACUGUGCACAUCUUGACGGUACCUAAUCAGAAAGCCACGGCUAACUACGUG
This 497-nucleotide ribosomal RNA is filed under the name uncultured bacterium. RNAcentral describes it as "partial 16S ribosomal RNA". It matches the Rfam family "Bacterial small subunit ribosomal RNA", at positions 28 to 507 of the family's 1533-position model. The record is from RNAcentral.